GACGAACGCUGGCGGCGUGCUUAACACAUGCAAGUCGAGCGGUAAGGCCCUUUCGGGGGUACACGAGCGGCGAACGGGUGAGUAACACGUGGGUGACCUGCCCUCAGCUCUGGGAUAAGCCUGGGAAACCGGGUCUAAUACCGGAUAUGACUCCAUGACGCAUGUCGUGGGGUGGAAAGCCUUGUGCGGCUGGGGAUGGGCCCGCGGCCUAUCAGCUUGUUGGUGGGGUGAUGGCCACCAAGGCGACGACGGGUAGCCGGCCUGAGAGGGCGACCGGCCACACUGGGACUGAGACACGGCCCAGACUCCUACGGGAGGGCAGCAGUGGGGAAUCUUGCGCAAUGGGCGAAAGCCUGACGCAGCGACGCCGCGUGAGGGAUGACGGCCUU
Molecule: ribosomal RNA, 389 nt
Filed under: uncultured bacterium
Lineage: Bacteria
Description: bacterial SSU rRNA
Rfam family: Bacterial small subunit ribosomal RNA
Source: RNAcentral